AGGCGUGCGAUACAGGGUGACAGCCCCGUACACAAAAAUGCACAUGCUGUGAGCUCGAUGAGUAGGGCGGGACACGUGGUAUCCUGUCUGAAUAUGGGGGGACCAUCCUCCAAGGCUAAAUACUCCUGACUGACCGAUAGUGAACCAGUACCGUGAGGGAAAGGCGAAAAGAACCCCGGCGAGGGGAGUGAAAAAGAACCUGAAACCGUGUACGUACAAGCAGUGGGAGCACGCUUAGGCGUGUGACUGCGUACCUUUUGUAUAAUGGGUCAGCGACUUAUAUUCUGUAGCAAGGUUAACCGAAUAGGGGAGCCGAAGGGAAACCGAGUCUUAACUGGGCGUUAAGUUGCAGGGUAUAGACCCGAAACCCGGUGAUCUAGCCAUGGGCAGGUUGAAGGUUGGGUAACACUAACUGGAGGACCGAACCGACUAAUGUUGAAAAAUUAGCGGAUGACUUGUGGCUGGGGGUGAAAGGCCAAUCAAACCGGGAGAUAGCUGGUUCUCCCCGAAAGCUAUUUAGGUAGCGCCUCGUGAAUUCAUCUCCGGGGGUAGAGCACUGUUUCGGCAAGGGGGUCAUCCCGACUUACCAACCCGAUGCAAACUGCGAAUACCGGAGAAUGUUAUCACGGGAGACACACGGCGGGUGCUAACGUCCGUCGUGAAGAGGGAAACAACCCAGACCGCCAGCUAAGGUCCCAAAGUCAUGGUUAAGUGGGAAACGAUGUGGGAAGGCCCAGACAGCCAGGAUGUUGGCUUAGAAGCAGCCAUCAUUUAAAGAAAGCGUAAUAGCUCACUGGUCGAGUCGGCCUGCGCGGAAGAUGUAACGGGGCUAAACCAUGCACCGAAGCUGCGGCAGCGACGCUGAUGCGUUGUUGGGUAGGGGAGCGUUCUGUAAGCCUGCGAAGGUGUGCUGUGAGGCAUGCUGGAGGUAUCAGAAGUGCGAAUGCUGACAUAAGUAACGAUAAAGCGGGUGAAAAGCCCGCUCGCCGGAAGACCAAGGGUUCCUGUCCAACGUUAAUCGGGGCAGGGUGAGUCGACCCCUAAGGCGAGGCCGAAAGGCGUAGUCGAUGGGAAACAGGUUAAUAUUCCUGUGCUUGGUGUUACUGCGAAGGGGGGACGGAGAAGGCUAUGUUGGCCGGGCGACGGUUGUCCCGGUUUAAGCGUGUAGGCUGGUUUUCCAGGCAAAUCCGGAAAAUCAAGGCUGAGGCGUGAUGACGAGGCACUACGGUGCUGAAGCAACAAAUGCCCUGCUUCCAGGAAAAGCCUCUAAGCAUCAGGUAACAUCAAAUCGUACCCCAAACCGACACAGGUGGUCAGGUAGAGAAUACCAAGGCGCUUGAGAGAACUCGGGUGAAGGAACUAGGCAAAAUGGUGCCGUAACUUCGGGAGAAGGCACGCUGAUAUGUAGGUGAAGUCCCUCGCGGAUGGAGCUGAAAUCAGUCGAAGAUACCAGCUGGCUGCAACUGUUUAUUAAAAACACAGCACUGUGCAAACACGAAAGUGGACGUAUACGGUGUGACGCCUGCCCGGUGCCGGAAGGUUAAUUGAUGGGGUCAGCGCAAGCGAAGCUCUUGAUCGAAGCCCCGGUAAACGGCGGCCGUAACUAUAACGGUCCUAAGGUAGCGAAAUUCCUUGUCGGGUAAGUUCCGACCUGCACGAAUGGCGUAAUGAUGGCCAGGCUGUCUCCACCCGAGACUCAGUGAAAUUGAACUCGCUGUGAAGAUGCAGUGUACCCGCGGCAAGACGGAAAGACCCCGUGAACCUUUACUAUAGCUUGACACUGAACAUUGAGCCUUGAUGUGUAGGAUAGGUGGGAGGCUUUGAAGUGUGGACGCCAGUCUGCAUGGAGCCGACCUUGAAAUACCACCCUUUAAU
This 1875-nucleotide ribosomal RNA is filed under the name Escherichia coli. RNAcentral describes it as "partial 23S ribosomal RNA". It matches the Rfam family "Bacterial large subunit ribosomal RNA", at positions 348 to 2211 of the family's 2925-position model. The record is from RNAcentral. Lineage: Bacteria; Pseudomonadati; Pseudomonadota; Gammaproteobacteria; Enterobacterales; Enterobacteriaceae.